GACGAACGCUGGCGGCGUGCCUAAUACAUGCAAGUCGAACGCUGAAGGAGGAGCUUGCUUCUCUGGAUGAGUUGCGAACGGGUGAGUAACGCGUAGGUAACCUGCCUGGUAGCGGGGGAUAACUAUUGGAAACGAUAGCUAAUACCGCAUAAUAGUAGAUGUUGCAUGACAUUUGCUUAAAAGGUGCAAUUGCAUCACUACCAGAUGGACCUGCGUUGUAUUAGCUAGUUGGUGGGGUAACGGCUCACCAAGGCGACGAUACAUAGCCGACCUGGGAGGGGGAUCGGCCACACUGGGACUGAGACACGGCCCAGACGCCUACGGGAGGCAGCAGUAGGGAAUCUUCGGCAAUGGACGGAAGUCUGACCGAGCAACGCCGCGUGAGUGAAGAAGGUUUUCGGUUCGUAAAGCUCUGUUGUAAGAGAAGAACGAGUGUGAGAGUGGAAAGUUCACACUGUGACGGUAUCUUACCAGAAAGAGACGGCUAACUACGUG
Molecule: ribosomal RNA, 495 nt
Filed under: uncultured bacterium
Lineage: Bacteria
Description: partial 16S ribosomal RNA
Rfam family: Bacterial small subunit ribosomal RNA
Source: RNAcentral